UGUGUACUUGGCCAUCUGUCGCCCUGGGGUCAGGCUUCAUAAAAUGAAGGUCCCUGCCUCCUCAUACUCCAUACAGGUGCCCCUCUGGGUCCCCGGACAGCCACAAGAUUGGGACAACG
This is a long non-coding RNA of Haliotis rufescens (red abalone), 119 nucleotides long. RefSeq lists it as uncharacterized. The record is from RefSeq and is a predicted model, not a curated record. The transcript is spliced from 2 exons. Lineage: Eukaryota; Metazoa; Mollusca; Gastropoda; Lepetellida; Haliotidae.